UAGGGAAUCUUCGGCAAUGGGGGCAACCCUGACCGAGCAACGCCGCGUGAGUGAAGAAGGUUUUCGGAUCGUAAAGCUCUGUUGUAAGAGAAGAACGUGUGUGAGAGUGGAAAGUUCACACAGUGACGGUAACUUACCAGAAAGCCACGGCUAACUACGUGCCAA
RNAcentral lists this ribosomal RNA (165 nucleotides) under uncultured bacterium. RNAcentral describes it as "partial 16S rRNA". It matches the Rfam family "Bacterial small subunit ribosomal RNA", at positions 355 to 511 of the family's 1533-position model. The record is from RNAcentral.